Molecule: ribosomal RNA, 627 nt
Filed under: uncultured bacterium
Lineage: Bacteria
Description: bacterial SSU rRNA
Rfam family: Bacterial small subunit ribosomal RNA
Source: RNAcentral
CCUACGGGAGGCAGCAGUGGGGAAUUUUGGACAAUGGGCGAAAGCCUGAUCCAGCAAUGCCGCGUGAGUGAAGAAGGCCUUCGGGUUGUAAAGCUCUUUUGUCAGGGAAGAAACGGUGAAGGCUAAUAUCCUUUGCUAAUGACGGUACCUGAAGAAUAAGCACCGGCUAACUACGUGCCAGCAGCCGCGGUAAUACGUAGGGUGCAAGCGUUAAUCGGAAUUACUGGGCGUAAAGCGUGCGCAGGCGGUUUUGUAAGUCUGAUGUGAAAUCCCCGGGCUCAACCUGGGAAUUGCAUUGGAGACUGCAAGGCUAGAAUCUGGCAGAGGGGGGUAGAAUUCCACGUGUAGCAGUGAAAUGCGUAGAUAUGUGGAGGAACACCGAUGGCGAAGGCAGCCCCCUGGGUCAAGAUUGACGCUCAUGCACGAAAGCGUGGGGAGCAAACAGGAUUAGAUACCCUGGUAGUCCACGCCCUAAACGAUGUCUACUAGUUGUCGGGUCUUAAUUGACUUGGUAACGCAGCUAACGCGUGAAGUAGACCGCCUGGGGAGUACGGUCGCGAAGAUUAAAACNCAAAAGUAGUAGUACGACGNGAGAGAGACGACGACGACGACGACGGAGGGAGGAGG